This 73-nucleotide transfer RNA is filed under the name Nemania serpens. RNAcentral's name for it is "tRNA-Trp". It matches the Rfam family "tRNA". Rfam says of the family: Transfer RNA (tRNA) molecules are approximately 80 nucleotides in length. Their secondary structure includes four short double-helical elements and three loops (D, anti-codon, and T loops). Further hydrogen bonds mediate the characteristic L-shaped molecular structure. tRNAs have two regions of fundamental functional importance: the anti-codon, which is responsible for specific mRNA codon recognition, and the 3' end, to which the tRNAs corresponding amino acid is attached (by aminoacyl-tRNA synthetases). tRNAs cope with the degeneracy of the genetic code in two manners: having more than one tRNA (with a specific anti-codon) for a particular amino acid; and 'wobble' base-pairing, i.e. permitting non-standard base-pairing at the 3rd anti-codon position. The record is from RNAcentral. Lineage: Eukaryota; Fungi; Ascomycota; Sordariomycetes; Xylariales; Xylariaceae.
GGACCUAUAGCUCAGCGGUACGAGCGUCGGAUUCCAGUCCCGAAGGUCACCCGUUCAAAUCGGGUUGGGUUCA